CCAGGUAGCUCAGUUGGUAGAGCAGCGGACUGAAAAUCCGCGUGUCGGUGGUUCAAUUCCGCCCCUGGGCACCA
Molecule: transfer RNA, 74 nt
Filed under: Alphaproteobacteria bacterium MarineAlpha2_Bin1
Lineage: Bacteria; Pseudomonadati; Pseudomonadota; Alphaproteobacteria
Description: tRNA-Phe
Rfam family: tRNA
About the family: Transfer RNA (tRNA) molecules are approximately 80 nucleotides in length. Their secondary structure includes four short double-helical elements and three loops (D, anti-codon, and T loops). Further hydrogen bonds mediate the characteristic L-shaped molecular structure. tRNAs have two regions of fundamental functional importance: the anti-codon, which is responsible for specific mRNA codon recognition, and the 3' end, to which the tRNAs corresponding amino acid is attached (by aminoacyl-tRNA synthetases). tRNAs cope with the degeneracy of the genetic code in two manners: having more than one tRNA (with a specific anti-codon) for a particular amino acid; and 'wobble' base-pairing, i.e. permitting non-standard base-pairing at the 3rd anti-codon position.
Source: RNAcentral